UACGUAGGUGGCAAGCGUUGUCCGGAUUUAUUGGGCGUAAAGCGCACGCAGGCGGUCUGUCAAGUCGGAUGUGAAAUCCCCGGGCUCAACCUGGGAACUGCAUCCGAAACUGGCAGGCUAGAGUCUUGUAGAGGGGGGUAGAAUUCCAGGUGUAGCGGUGAAAUGCGUAGAGAUCUGGAGGAAUACCGGUGGCGAAGGCGGCCCCCUGGACAAAGACUGACGCUCAGGUGCGAAAGCGUGGGGAGCAAACAGGAUUAGAUACCCUGGUAGUCCACGCCGUAAACGAUGUCGACUUGGAGGUUGUGCCCUUGAGGCGUGGCUUCCGGAGCUAACGCGUUAAGUCGACCGCCUGGGGAGUACGGCCGCAAGGUUAAA
This 375-nucleotide ribosomal RNA is filed under the name uncultured bacterium. RNAcentral's name for it is "bacterial SSU rRNA". It matches the Rfam family "Bacterial small subunit ribosomal RNA", at positions 524 to 898 of the family's 1533-position model. The record is from RNAcentral.